Molecule: ribosomal RNA, 1462 nt
Rfam family: Bacterial large subunit ribosomal RNA
AAGGCUAAAUACUACCCAGCGACCGAUAGUGAACCAGUACCGUGAGGGAAAGGUGAAAAGUACUCCUGUUAGGAGAGUGAAAUAGUACCUGAAACCGUGUGCUUACAAACAGUGGGAGGGCUAUGUUCAAAUGUAGUUUGAACACGCCUGACCGCGUGCCUUUUGCAUAAUGAGUCAGCGAGUUACUUUAUGCGGCGAGAUUAAGCCGAAUGAGGUGUAGUCGUAGCGAAAGCGAGUCUUAACCGGGCGUCAUAGUCGCAUGAAGUAGACCCGAAACCAGGUGAUCUAUCCAUGGCCAGGGUAAAGCAGAUGUAAUAGUCUGUGGAGGCCCGAACCCACUGACGUUGAAAAGUCAGGGGAUGAGCUGUGGAUAGGGGUGAAAGGCCAAUCAAACCUGGAGAUAGCUGGUUCUCCCCGAAAUAUAUUUAGGUAUAGCCUCGCAAGUUCAGUAACGGAGGUAGAGCACUGGAUGGACUAGGGGGCCCUAAGGCUUACCAAACCCAACCAAACUCCGAAUGCCGUUAACUGCGAUUGCGGGAGUCAGACUGUGGGAGAUAAGUUCCAUGGUCGAGAGGGAAAAAACCCAGACCGCCAGCUAAGGUCCCCAAAUACGUGCUAAGUGGAAAAGGAUGUGGAAGCGCAUAGACAACCAGGAGGUUUGCUUAGAAGCAGCAAUCCUUUAAAGAGUGCGUAAUAGCUCACUGGUCAAGCGAGUCUGCGCCGAAAAUGUAACGGGGCUCAAGCACGUUACCGAAGCUGCGGGCUUCGAGUGUCCUUCGUGAUACUUGGAGCGGUAGGGGAGCGUUCCAUCGUAGGUUGAAGCUGGACCGAAAGGACCAGUGGACGAAAUGGAAGUGCUUAUGCUGACAUGAGUAGCGAUAAAAGGGGUGAGAAACCCCUUCGCCGAAAACCUAAGGGUUCCUGAGGAAGGUUAAUCCUCUCAGGGUUAGUCGACCCCUAAGCCGAGGCCGAAAGGCGUAGGUGAUGGGAAGCAGGUUAAUAUUCCUGCACCACUAGAUCAACGUUUGAGUGAUGGGGGGACGUAGAAGGGUAGGCAUACGCCCUGCUGGAAUAGGGCGGCCGCGAUCGUAGGAGGGCUUUCCAGGCAAAUCCGGAAGGCUAUUCAAACUCCGAGGAGAGCGGGGAAGUGCGGCUUCGGCCAAACCAACUUGUUGAUCCCAUGCUACCAAGAAAAGCCUCUAAGCGAGUUGAUCUGGUGAUCGUACCGUAAACCGACUCAGGUGGGUGAGGUGAAUAUCCUAAGGCGCUUGAGAUAACCCUCGUUAAGGAACUCGGCAAACUAGCACCGUACCUUCGGAAGAUGGUGCGCCUCUCUGGUGAAGGGAUUUACUCCUGGAGCUAAGGGAGGCCGCAGUGAAGUGGGGGUUGCGACUGUUUACUAAAAACACAGGACUCUGCAAAGUCGUAAGACGACGUAUAGGGUCUGACGCCUGCCCGGUGC